AUUUAAAUUUUGAAUUUCCCUCUUCUUUUGGUUUUGUUGGGUCUUAUUUUUGCAUUCAAACAAGUGAAAAACUGAUCUGGCCCAGUUGUUGAAGCCCAUUUCGCUACCAAACAAAAAAAUACUUACCUGGAAAGGAAAAAAAAGAAGCACGCGUAAACAUUUUGGGCAAUUCCUUUCUCCCUCCACGCGACCCAACCAGAAAAACGCUAUCAAAUUGAUGCAAGCCUACAGAAAUCCUCUCUGACUCUUAUCAGUACACUCCCAGCGGAUUUUAUGGCUUUAAUCGAUCUCUCUUCAACGUUGAACAGAACAGAGCAACCAAAUUCAAAUUUCCCCUUCAAUCUCUCACUCUGUUCUUUAUCUUCUCUCAUUUUUUUUGGAUUGCUUCAUUUCUCCUUCUCUUUUGACAAAUCCAGCAACGGGAAAGAAUGAGGAAUCAUCGCACACGACGGAGGCGAGAAAGAAUGAGUAAUCAGCAUACACAAAGACGUUAAGGUGUUUUAGAAAAAAGGAACCUGUGAGUGGCCAUGGAUAGAGUUGUUCUCAAGACUAUUCAUACCUUUGACAUCAUCGGUACAAUUGAAGUGAAAUUUGUAAGCAUUCACAUCCACCAUUGAUAGUUUGCUUUGUAAGAGUCUUUAACAUAGUAAGCAAAGAGAGGGGUAUUAUGUAACUUUAGUAUAAUUAAGUUCCAAAUUUAUUUUAGAAAAAACAUGGGCGACGUCCCGGAAGGGUUAUGUUUAUGCAUAUAUCAACUUUGUUAAAUAUUAUAGAGGGAUGAUGUUAUGUAACUUUAUGAUAAUUAAGUUUCAAGUUUUAUAUCUAGAAAAAACACGGGAGACAUCCCAGAAAGGUUAUGUUUAUGCAUGUAUCGACUUUAUUAAUAUUUGAUUUGAUUGAAUAUAGUAAUUUGUACUU
Molecule: long non-coding RNA, 918 nt
Organism: Trifolium pratense (red clover)
Lineage: Eukaryota; Viridiplantae; Streptophyta; Magnoliopsida; Fabales; Fabaceae
Exons: 3
Source: RefSeq, a predicted model, not a curated record